This 1209-nucleotide long non-coding RNA is filed under the name Parus major (Great Tit). Its description in RNAcentral is "lncRNA (ENSPMJG00000001371.1)". Lineage: Eukaryota; Metazoa; Chordata; Aves; Passeriformes; Paridae. The record is from RNAcentral.
AAGUUCUCUCCCAUGUAUGGAUGACCACACUGCUCCCUCAGUGCUUUUUGGUUGCAGACUGCCAGCUCCUAGCUGCAGGUAAGAAAACAGCAAGUGAGAAGAUCCUCUGCAAAAACAUUGGAAGGCUAUCAAAUCAGAAUUUGAAAUUAAAGACUUCUCUAGAAGUGUUUCUGAGACUCAAUGGGCCAAAAAUAGCCUGGAAGCAGUCAAAAAAGAGCAAUGCCAUCCAUCUGGGCAGACCUCAUCCUGAAUCUACCAGCAUGACUGAAUAGUUCCACAGAGAUGCUGGCUUCUUGUAAAGACUGUUCCACUUUUUUUUCUUUUCAAUUUUUUUUCUUUUUUCCCUUGUGCAGCUUAUUCCUCUCUCUGGACUGUUUUUUCCCCACAAAUAACUGUUAAUUGUUUGUUUUCCCUGCAAACAGUGAAGAGAGCCAUAUUGCACCAUAAAAGUAAUGUCAUGUGGAUUCCCAUCUCAUCAACUCUCCAUGACUUCUGAGUCAUGCCUGGGUAGUUUUCAAGUGUGACUACAAAAUUAGAAGACAUUUCACAGAAGUCCUGACGUUUUAUUGGAAAGAGGGUGCAUUUUUCUAUAUAAUAUAGACACUCUAUGAUUAAGGGAUUUUGAGGAUGUCUCCAUUCAUUGCUAGAGAUCGGAGGAGAUCUGGAGGUGAUCAUGACUACCACGGAGGACACAGACCUGAUGCACUGUUUUGGGAAGGGUAAAGGAUCACCUUUUGCCAGUCCAUCAGUGGAGGGUGGUCACAAGAACUUACCAAGAGACUGCAGCAGCCUGGAAAAGCAAAGAUGGUUGUGACAGUAGGAGCAGCUGAUGUGUAGAGAUGAACUGUAUCAGGGUAAGGAAAUCAUUGGUUCCAAAAUGAUGAAGUGGUCUUUAAUUGUCCACAUCUCAAUGCCUAGGGGAGUAUUGCCAGGGAAACUAGAACAGACGGAAAUGCUGCUGACAUUAUAAUAAUGUGCUGCAUGGGAAACCACUGCAGAAAUAGUUAAGUGAUGCCUUUGCCAAGGCCACAGAGUGAAAUGUUACUACACCAUGGGGUGGAUUAAAAUAUGCAUUUUCUCCUAAUUGAGCACAGCGGACUCAGCUGGAGGUCCUGUCAGGAGAAGAGGAAUAAUUUGUCACAGCAAGAAAUGUAUAACUUGACAGAGCAUCUAUUAGACAGUACAGUAAAAAAUAAAGUUGGACUUGUG